GCAUAACGCGAAGAACCUUACCCACCUUUGACAUGGUCGGAAUCCUGCAGAGACGCAGGAGUGCUCGCAAGAGAGCCGACACACAGGUGCUGCAUGGCUGUCGUCAGCUCGUGUCGUGAGAUGUUGGGUUAAGUCCCGCAAUGAGCGCAACCCUUGCCAUCAGUUGCUACGAAAGGGCACUCUGAUGGGACUGCCGGUGACAAACCGGAGGAAGGUGGGGAUGACGUCAAGUCCUCAUGGCCCUUAUAGGUGGGGCUACACACGUCAUACAAUGGCUGGUACAAAGGGUUGCCAACCCGCGAGGGGGAGCCAAUCCCACAAAGCCAGUCGUAGUCCGGAUUGCAGGCUGCAACUCGCCUGCAUGAAGUCGGAAUCGCUAGUAAUCGCGGAUCAGCAUGUCGCGGUGAAUACGUUCCCGGGUCUUGUACACACCG
Molecule: ribosomal RNA, 434 nt
Filed under: uncultured bacterium
Lineage: Bacteria
Description: bacterial SSU rRNA
Rfam family: Bacterial small subunit ribosomal RNA
Source: RNAcentral